UGUAUUGUUUGUAAAUAAUAAUAGAGAGGUUAUGGGAUUUUAACGUCGCAAUACGCCGGUCAUGUGAAAUGACCAAAUGAGGGAAGGGGCCCCUGAAGGCGGGGAGGGACGACCGACCGCCAGUGUCUCUCACCGUCGAUGUUGAGCAUCAUCUUCCACUGCGACGGCCGCACGGACUGGUGGAAGCCGAACCACACCUCCCGCCCGCCGCCCAGCGGGUGGUAGUAGCCGUCGGGGGACGAGAAGAACGAGCGGCCCACCGGGGUGUACGUCAUGGAGGGCAGGUGGCGCAUCACCACGUCCAGGGCCUGCGGAGCGGGGAGGGGGGGCGCCCGGCUUGUGUAGUAUAAAUAAAUAUAAAUUUUGUUUUGAACAAGAAA
Long non-coding RNA from Bacillus rossius redtenbacheri, 380 nucleotides. RefSeq lists it as uncharacterized. The record is from RefSeq and is a predicted model, not a curated record. Lineage: Eukaryota; Metazoa; Arthropoda; Insecta; Phasmatodea; Bacillidae. The transcript is spliced from 2 exons.